RNAcentral lists this long non-coding RNA (1568 nucleotides) under Mus musculus (house mouse). Its description in RNAcentral is "predicted gene, 35818". The record is from RNAcentral. Lineage: Eukaryota; Metazoa; Chordata; Mammalia; Rodentia; Muridae.
GAGAGCAGGCUGAGCAAGCCAGGGGAGGCAAGCCAGUAAAGAACAUCCUUCCAUGGCCUCUGCAUCAGCUCCUGCUUCCUGACCUGCUUGAGUUCCAGUCCUGACUUCCUUGGUGAUGAACAGCAGUAUGGAAGUGUAAGCCGAAUAAACCCUUUCCUCCCCAACUUGCUUCUUGGUCAUGAUGUUUGUGCAGGAAUAGAAACCCUGACUAAGACAGAUGGCGAGGGCUUAGCCUUGGCAGUGGAGGGUUGGAGGGUCUAAAGUGGGAAAGCUUGGACCAAUUGGUGCAAAUGAUGGGCGGGACAGAGUUGUUACUGUGGUGUGAGAUUCCUCAUUGGUCUGUGUUGGCAGUGUCCUUUGAUGAAGGGCUCAAAGAAGGGCCAAGGCUUGUUUUAGACAAACCACCAUUAGCUCCAUUUGUGGCAAGGAAGUGUGUAGAGAUAGACGCUCUGGUAAUCAGGAGACUGAUGGCUAUGAUCACUUGCAAAGGGCCCAGGCCUAGAACCAGCCCCAUAAGUAGACAGAAUACUUAUCCCCUGCAUCUGGACUCCUGAGUCUCAUUCUGUCUGGGGCCCUGGCUUCUUGUUGCUGGUUACCCACUAGGCCUCUGGCUAUUUCCAUGGUGGCUGCUGCCCUGUACACCGACUUGAUGUCUCAGGAGUAAUUGACUCGUGUUUCCUUCUUCUAAGGGUGCCCUGGGACUCACCAAGCACUGCCUAUCUUAGAUUAGCAUAGACUGGACUUCCUGUUGCUGAUAGUCUCAAUGGGUUCUUCAGCUUGUGGCCUCAGCCUCAGGCCUACCUAUGCUCAGAACUCCCUCUCUGACCUGUGGCGGGGGACUGCCUAGAAGCCAGUCUUUGUAGCUGACAUUCACCUUGCCUGGUCCAGAGGAGAGGGUGAAAUGAUUUGAUUUUAAAUAAAUAAAUACAUAAAAAUGUCCAGUGCUCUCUGUCGUUAUCAGGUUGGGAAUUUUCUGUAACCACUUACAGAAGAGAAGAAAGCUUUCAGAUUAGCAACUUCUGUCUUUCAGAAGGCAAACAGAGAUAACUCUUGGCUUUGAAAUGGGAACACACCCAAGGCAAAGAUGGUUCUCGCUGAUAUCUCACUGCAGUAUGAGGCUUCACAACCGGCAAUUGCAUAGACUGAGGACAUGGAAGCUCCAAGAUACUACAGAUCUCCGGAUGACCCUUCUGAAUGAGAUAGGAAAUGGCUUCUUUAGUUGAGCGGAACAGCCACAGAAUUUGGGGUCUCUCACUGGCCUGGAGUUUCCCAAGUAGGUCAGCCUAUCUGGCUAGCAAGUCCCAGGGCCUGACAGUCUUCCCACCACAGUACUGCCAUUACAGAGAUUGAUUUUGAAAGCACCCCUCAAAGGCUUGAAAGUACUCAGACAGCCGUUCAGUUGUGUGCUGCCCAGGUUAUAACUCAAGUUUCCCAGUAAAUGACACGCAGAAGAAGUAAUAGGAGAUGACGCCCCACCCUUCCUGUCUCUCCGAUACCCUGCAGCAUCUGUUAGUCAUCUUUGUCAUAGAUGCUAAUAAAUUCAAAUUAAGGACAGCAAGAGUAUUGAA